AUGUGUUAGAUUUUAUCCAAUGAUAAAUUUUGAUGAUAACAAACAGAUUUUAGAUUUAAUUUGUUAUUUAGCAAUUUCAGGUUGUAAUUGAAUUUAAAGCGGCUCAAGUUGAACCGGAUUUGAUCAAAGGUAACGAUUCAAUCAAUUUAUUCAAAUUGGCCCGGACAAGAUCAAAUUGUACCAAAUUGGAUGCAAGUGCCACAACAAUAAUUUGGAGGACUUCUUUACAAUUUGUUAGAUUUGAGCCGGUCAACUUAGUCAAGUUGACCAAUUCACCUUUUGGGUUUUAUUUGAGCUUAAUGUUAAAUUAGCCAUUAUUUUAAUAUAGUAUGAAAGUGAUUUUAUGUAUGGUAUAAAUUCAAAUUUGAUUUUAAUAUAGUAUGAAUUUAAAAAAUAUGAAAUAUGAUAUAAAUGAGUUUUAUAAGUAUUGUAUUAUUUUAAAAGCUUUUACAAAUGUGGAAUUAAUUCAAAAAGUUUUUCAUUUAUAGUAUUAAUUUAAAAGGAUUUUAUAAAUUUAGUAUAAUUUCAAAUGAGCUUUUCAAUAUAGUAAUAUUUCAAAUGAGUUUUGCAAAUGUGGUAUGAAUUUGAAUUUUAUAAAUUUAGUAUAAUUUCAAAUGAGCUUUUCAAUAUAGUAAUAUUUCAAAUGUUUUGCAAAUGUGGUAUGAAUUCGAAUUUAUUUUGGAAUUAAUUCAAAUGCAUUUGCAAAUAUGGUUAAAAUUCAAAUUGAAAUCAAUUAUAAUUUAAUUAUGCUUUUGUUCCAUUUUUGAAAUGAUGGCUAGUGUAUUUAAAGGGGGGCUUGGAUGUUGUUUGUGACACAACUUCAGAAAAAUUCUCUAAGUCCUAAUUGUUCAUAUGAUUUGUAAUUGUGA
This 869-nucleotide long non-coding RNA is filed under the name Ananas comosus (pineapple). RNAcentral describes it as "long non-coding RNA (ACOM_LNC032749)". Lineage: Eukaryota; Viridiplantae; Streptophyta; Magnoliopsida; Poales; Bromeliaceae. The record is from RNAcentral.